Long non-coding RNA from Haliotis rubra (blacklip abalone), 100 nucleotides. RefSeq lists it as uncharacterized. The record is from RefSeq and is a predicted model, not a curated record. Lineage: Eukaryota; Metazoa; Mollusca; Gastropoda; Lepetellida; Haliotidae. The transcript has 3 exons.
UGUGGUACUGGCAGGGCCAUAAAUAUAUUUUCCAAUGUUAUAAAUUUGCUUGAUAUUUUUUAUCAAACCGGGGAAAUGCAAAUUUUUUUAACUUAUCCUG